CAAAGUCUUGGAACCAACCCAAAUGUCCAACAAUGAUAGACUGGAUUAAGAAAAUGUGGCACAUAUACAGCACGGAAUACUACGCAGCCAUAAAAAAUGAUGAGUUCAUGUCCUUUGUAGGGACAUGGAUGAAACUGGAAACCAUCAUUCUCAGCAAACUAUCACAAGGACAAAAAAACCAAACACCGCAUGUUCUCACUCAUAGGUAGGAAUUGAACAAUGAGAACACUUGGACACAGGAAGGGGAACAUCACACACUGGGGACUGUUGUGGGGUGGGGGGAGGGGGGAGGGAUAGCAUUAGGAGAUAUAUCUAAUGCUAAAUGAUGAGUUAAUGGGUGCAGCACACCAACAUGGCACAUGUAUACAUAUGUAACAAACCUGCACGUUAUGCACAUGUACCCUAAAACUUAAAGUAUAAUAAUAUUUAAAAAAAAAAUACCACACACUAGGCAGCUUAAACAACAGAAAUUUACUUCCUCACAGUUCUGGAGGUUAGCAGUUUAAGGUCAAGGUAUCAGGGUGGUUUCUAGUGAGGACUGUCUUCCUCACUUGCAGGCUGCCACCUUCUUGCUGCCUUCACCUGGCCUUUUCUCUUUGCGUGCAGAGAGACAGAGAGUGCACUCCAGUGUCUCUUCCUCUUCUUAUUAGGACGCCCAUCCUGUUGGAUUAGGCUCCACCCUUUUGACUUCAUUUAACCUUAAUUAUCUCCCAAAAGACCCUCCCUUCAAAUAUAGUCAUAUUGGGUCUUAGGGCUUCAAUACAUGAAUUUUGGGAGGAAAAAAUUAGGUCCAUAACAUCUCCCAUCUGUCUUUCUUCAAUUUGUUCAAAACCCAGAAGAGAAAGAGAGAAAAAGAGGUGUUACUUAUUGGGGAUCCCCUUAGAGAUCCUAGAAUCCUGCAUAUGCCCUUUCCUCCUAAGUUUCUUUUUCUUUUUUUUUUUUUUUUUUUCUCUUUGAGACUGAGUCUAACUCUGUUGCCCAGGCUGAAGUUCAGUGGCACAAUCUCAGCUCACUGCAACCUCCGCCUCCCAGGUUCAAGUGAUUCUCCUGCCUCAGCCUCCUGAGUAGCUGGGAUUACAGGCGCAUACCACCACGCCCGGCUAAUUUUUGUAUUUUUAGUAGAGACAGGGUUUCACCAUGUUGGCCAGGCUGGUCUUGAACUCCUGACCUCAGGUGAUCCACCCACCUCAGCCUCCCAAAGUACUGGGAUUACAGGCGUGAGCCACCAUGCCUGGCCCCUUUCCUCCUAAGUUUCUUAAACAUAUACUCUGUAUAUUCUGGACAACCAAAACAUUAAUAAAAUUUAAGAAUUCUGAAAUGGAUAAAUAUAGGUACUUUCACAGAAUAAAAAACUCUCAAGGAAUAAAUCUUGAAGUAAAUGCAAGACAAUUUCCCAAUUUUUUAUAGGGCAUAGUUGGGAGAUAUGUUAUCAUUUUUUUAAUUUUUUUUUUUUUUUUUUCGACAGGGUGUUGCUCUGUCAUCAAGGCUGGAGUGCAGUGGCAGGAUCAUGGUUCACUGCAGCCUCAACCGUUUAGGCUUAAGCCGUCUUCCUGCCUCAGCAUCCUUUGUAGCUGGGACCACAGGUGUAUGUCACCAUGACCAGCUACUUUUUGCAUUUUUUGUAGAGAUAGAGUUUUGCCAUGUUACCCUGGCUGAUCUUGAACUCCCGAGCUCAAGCGAUCCACCUGCCUCAGCCUCCCAAAGUUCUGGGAUUACAGGCAUGAGCCACCACACCUGGCUUCAUUUUCAUUUUGAAAUCAGAAAAAUUGAGUUUCAAAUAUUUUUAUUUGAAGUUUUUAUAUUAUAGAGUAAAAAAUUAUACAUAGGAGGUUUUAAAUCUCAUAUGUAUACUCACAACUCAGAUAUUUACGUAUCCAGUCCAGACCUCUGGAUUUAUAUGUCCAACUUCCUACUCAAUUUCUGAAGUAGAAAGUCUAGUGGAUAUCUCAAACCCAACACAUUCAAAAUCGAACUGAUCUGUCUUAAACUUGCUCCUACUCUAGUCUGCUAGAUUUUAAAUGAUAGCAACUCCAUCUUUCUACUUCCUUUGGUCUAAAACCUUGAGGUCAUCACUAACUCCGUCUGUCUUCACACAGCCCAGACACAUUCCCAUAGCAAAUUCUUGUGGCUCUACCUACAAUCCAGAAUUUGAUCUGUCCUCACAAUCUCCACUGUUACUUCCCUCAUUAAAGUAUCAUCAUCUCUUUUUUGGGUUAUUGCAGUGGCCUCCUUACCGGCCUCUCUGCUUCAGCCUUGCCCUCCCGUCUCCUGUCAAUGGUCUAUUCUCAACACAACAGCCAAAGUGAGGCUUUCAAAAUGUAUACAAAACCACAUUACUCUGAACUCUCCAGUGGCUCCUUAUCUCACACAGAAGCAAAUGCCACAGUUCUCACAAUGGCCUCCUCCACCCUAAAUGAUCUGAACACCAGUGCAGCACCAUCAGCCCUCUGACCUUGUCCCCACCACUUCCCCUCUUCCUCCCUUUUCUUCAGCCGCACUGGCUUCCUCUUCUUCCUAGAACAUACCAAGCACCAACCCACAUCAGAGGCUUGGCAUUUCUGUUUCCUUUGCCUGAAACAUACUUCUCUUAAAUAUCACAUCACUUUCUCUGUCAUCUCCUCCAGGUCUUUGCUCUACUGUGACCUCAGUAAUAACUUCCCCAUGACCCAAUUUAUAAUUACAAUUCAUGUCCCCAUCCCAGAACCCAUCCCUAUUUUCUGCUCUGUUUUGCUGUGUAACACUUAUCAUCAUAUAUUUUGCAUAAAAUUUGUUUAUUACAUCUCCUGAUCCUAUCCCACACACUAGAAUAUAAGCUCCAUGAAUUCAGAAAUGUUUGUCUGUUUCAUUUACUGAGUAUUCCCAGUUAGAAUAAGGUCUGACAUACUGGGGUAUCUCAAUAUAUGUUUAUUAAAUUGAAUGAAUGACUUCAGUAUGUCAUUCUCUUUCUUUGAUAGGCCAAAGAUGAAAAAAAUAGAGAAGAUAUGAAUAAAACAAUUGAUGAGAUGGAUUUAAUAGAUCUAAUUUAAACAAAGAUAUAUUUGAAAAGAUAAACCCCUAUUUUCAAAUGUUUAUGGCAGGGUUUCUCAACAACAGCUAUUAUAUUUUAUGUCAAAUAGUUCUUUGUUGUGGGGGUUUCAUAUUACAGUGUACAUUGUAAGAUGUUUAGCAGCAUCACUGGCCUCUACCAAUUAGAUGCUAGUGCAAUCAAUACUCUCCCACUCUCAAGUCAUGACAACCAAAAAUGUCUCCAGACAUUGCCUAGUGGAGAGUAGCCACCUAUGGUAAUACCUAAAGUUGAGCCACAUAUACACACCAAAAAUAUAUAAUUUAAUAAGAAAAGUUUAAACAAAAAAUAUCACAAUCAAUUGGAAAAAAAUUCUCCAAAAAUAUUGAGUCAAAAAUUAACCAAAACAACAUCGAAGAUCUGUUUUUUAUAAGGCUGCCAGAUAAAAUAUAGGAACCCAGUUAAAUUCAAAUUUCAGACAAAUAUUGAGUAAUUUUUUAGUCUAAGUAUGUCUCAUGCAACUUUUGGGACAUACUUACACCAGACAUUUAUCUGUUGUUUUUCUGAAAUUCUAAUUUAACUGGAGAACUGCCAGAAUUGCUAAAUCUGGCAAUUCCGGUUUAUAAAAUAAUAAGUAUAAGAUUGCUACAUAUAAAAUUAUAGCCACUACCUAUAGAACACAGCCAAAACCGUACUAAGACAAAGGUAUGUUUGUCAAUGCCUUCAUUUCUUAAAAAGAGAAAUGACUAAAAAUGAACUAAAGUUUAACUGAAAAAUUUAGAAAAUGAUAAAAUAAAAUGAAAGAAAACAAAUAUAAAUAAUCUAAAGGACUCUCCCACAGUUAAAUUAAUUUGCAGAAGAAACCCUUGCCGACUCUACUAAUAGCCUUGCUGAUGGGACUGUAAUAUUUCAAGUUCUUUGAUCCUUGGACAGUGAUGGAUACAUUCUAAUAAAGCUUAGCAUUUACUCACCACUCUAGAUGCUCCAUCAAUGUCUUCUGUUGAUGUCUUUUUCCUUUAGAUAUAUAACUGCACAUGAUCAUCAUGCUGUGUUACGUCAGUAAGAUUUUUUUUUUUUUUUUUUUUGAGACAGAGUCUCGCUCUGUCACCCAGGCUGGAGUGCAGUGGCACAAUCUCGGCUCACCGCAACCUGCGCCUCCUGGGUUCACGCCAUUCUCCUGCCUCAGCCUCCCGAGUAGCUGGGACUACAGGCGCCUGCCACCACGCCAAGCUAAUUUUUGUAUUUUUAGUAGAGACCAGUGAUGAUGGUUACUUCUAGAGUUUUUAUGGUUUUAGGUUUUACGUUUAAGUCUUUAAUCCAUCUUGAGUUAAUUUUUGUAUAAGGUGUAAGGAAGGGCUCCAGUUUCAGU
This 4373-nucleotide long non-coding RNA is filed under the name Homo sapiens (human). RNAcentral describes it as "HSALNT0211768". The record is from RNAcentral. Lineage: Eukaryota; Metazoa; Chordata; Mammalia; Primates; Hominidae.